UAGCGGCGCGCUUAAUGCAUGCAAGUCGAACGAUGAGGCCCUACGGGGGUACAUCAGUGGCAGACGGGUGAGUAACACGUAGGUAACCUGCCCUCGAGACGGGGAUAACGGCUGGAAACGGUCGCUAAGACCCGAUAUAGUCUGACCUUCGGGAGAAGGUGAGAGGAAAGGCUUCGGUGCUCGGGGAGGGGCCUGCGGCCCAUCAGCUAGUUGGAGAGGUAACGGCUCCCCAAGGCAAUGACGGGUAGGGGGUGUGAGAGCAUGGCCCCCCACACUGGGACUGAGACACGGCCCAGACUCCUACGGGAGGCAGCAGCAGGGAAUAUUGCGCAAUGGACGGAAGUCUGACGCAGCGACGCCGCGUGGAUGAUGAAGGCCUUCGGGUUGUAAAAUCCUUUUCCGGGCGAUGAGGAAGGACACUAGCCUGGGAAUAAGCGUCGGCUAACUACGUGCCAGCAGCCGCGGUAAGACGUAGGACGCGAGCGUUAUCCGGAUUUACUGGGCGUAAAGCGCCUGCAGGCGGUCAGGUAAGUCGGUUGUGAAAGCCCCGUGCUCAACGCGGGGAGGCCAAGCGAUACUGCGUGACUUGAGGGCGGAAGAGGGGAGUGGAAUUCCCGGUGUAGCGGUAAAAUGCGCAGAUAUCGGGAGGAACACCAGUGGCGAAGGCGGCUCCCUGGACCGCACCUGACGCUCAGAGGCGAAAGCUAGGGGAGCGAACAGGAUUAGAGACCCUGGUAGUCCCAGCCCUAAACGCUGGAUGCUAGGUGUAGGGCUGAUGAGGCUCUGUGCCGGAGCGAACGCGAUAAGCAUCCCGCCUGGGAACUACGGCCGCAAGGCUAAAACUCAAACGAAUUGACGGGGACCCGCACAAGCAGCGGAGCGUGUGGUUUAAUUCGAUGCUACACGAAGAACCUUACCUGGGUUUGACAUGCUGGUGGUACCGAACCGAAAGGGGAGGGACCCUUCGGGGAGCCAACACAGGUGCUGCAUGGCU
Molecule: ribosomal RNA, 994 nt
Filed under: uncultured organism
Description: bacterial SSU rRNA
Rfam family: Bacterial small subunit ribosomal RNA
Source: RNAcentral